AGAGUUUGAUCCUGGCUCAGAUUGAACGCUGGCGGCAGGCCUAACACAUGCAAGUCGAACGGUAACAUUUCUAGCUUGCUAGAAGAUGACGAGUGGCGGACGGGUGAGUAAUGCUUGGGAACUUGCCUUUGCGAGGGGGAUAACAGUUGGAAACGACUGCUAAUACCGCAUAAUGUCUUCGGACCAAACGGGGCUUAGGCUCCGGCGCAAAGAGAGGCCCAAGUGAGAUUAGCUAGUUGGUAAGGUAACGGCUUACCAAGGCGACGAUCUCUAGCUGUUCUGAGAGGAAGAUCAGCCACACUGGGACUGAGACACGGCCCAGACUCCUACGGGAGGCAGCAGUGGGGAAUAUUGCACAAUGGGGGAAACCCUGAUGCAGCCAUGUCGCGUGUGUGAAGAAGGCCUUCGGGUUGUAAAGCACUUUCAGUUGUGAGGAAAAGUUAGUAGUUAAUACCUGCUAGCCGUGACGUUAACAACAGAAGAAGCACCGGCUAACUCCGUGCCAGCAGCCGCGGUAAUACGGAGGGUGCGAGCGUUAAUCGGAAUUACUGGGCGUAAAGCGCACGCAGGCGGUUUGUUAAGCUAGAUGUGAAAGCCCCGGGCUCAACCUGGGAUGGUCAUUUAGAACUGGCAGACUAGAGUCUUGGAGAGGGGAGUGGAAUUCCAGGUGUAGCGGUGAAAUGCGUAGAUAUCUGGAGGAACAUCAGUGGCGAAGG
RNAcentral lists this ribosomal RNA (716 nucleotides) under uncultured marine microorganism. RNAcentral's name for it is "bacterial SSU rRNA". It matches the Rfam family "Bacterial small subunit ribosomal RNA", at positions 8 to 721 of the family's 1533-position model. The record is from RNAcentral.